CUGCAGCCCGAGUGGUGAUCGAUUUUAUUGAGCCUAAAGCGUCCGUAGCCGGACUAGUAAACCCUUGGGUAAAUUGGGCAGCUUAACUGUCCGAAUUCCGAGAGGACUGCUAGACUUGGGACCGGGAGAGGUCAGAGGUACUCCAGGGGUAGGGGCUAAAUCCUGUAAUCCUUUGGGGACCACCAGUGGCGAAGGCGUCUGACUAGAACGGAUCCGACGGUAAGGGACGAAACCCUGGGGCGCGAACCGGAUUAGAUACCCGCGUAGUCC
RNAcentral lists this ribosomal RNA (270 nucleotides) under uncultured archaeon. RNAcentral's name for it is "partial 16S ribosomal RNA". It matches the Rfam family "Archaeal small subunit ribosomal RNA", at positions 477 to 747 of the family's 1478-position model. The record is from RNAcentral.